GAUGAACGCUAGCUACAGGCUUAACACAUGCAAGUCGAGGGGUAACAAGAGAAAAGCUUGCUUUUCUUGUUGACGACCGGCGCACGGGUGAGUAACGCGUAUCCAACCUGCCUAUAACUAGGGAAUAACCUUGCGAAAGUAAGACUAAUACCCUAUGAUUUCCUUUGAUGACAUCAGAUUAGGAAUAAAGAUUUAUCGGUUAUAGAUGGGGAUGCGUCUGAUUAGCUUGUUGGCGGGGUAACGGCCCACCAAGGCAACGAUCAGUAGGGGUUCUGAGAGGAAGGUCCCCCACAUUGGAACUGAGACACGGUCCAAACUCCUACGGGAGGCAGCAGUGAGGAAUAUUGGUCAAUGGGCGGAAGCCUGAACCAGCCAAGUAGCGUGCAGGAUGACGGCCCUAUGGGUUGUAAACUGCUUUUAUACAGGAAUAAAGUUAGCCACGUGUGGUUAUUUGUAGGUACUGUAUGAAUAAGGACCGGCUAAUUCCGUGCCAGCCGCCGCAGUAA
RNAcentral lists this ribosomal RNA (506 nucleotides) under uncultured bacterium. RNAcentral's name for it is "partial 16S ribosomal RNA". It matches the Rfam family "Bacterial small subunit ribosomal RNA", at positions 28 to 523 of the family's 1533-position model. The record is from RNAcentral.